UACAGAGGGUGCAAGCGUUAAUCGGAAUUACUGGGCGUAAAGGGUGCGUAGGUGGUUGAAUAAGUUGAGUGUGAAAGUCCUGGGCUUAACCUGGGGAUUGCAUUUGAGACUGUUUAGCUAGAGUACUGUAGAGGAAGGUGGAAUUUCCAGUGUAGCGGUGAAAUGCGUAGAUAUUGGAAGGAACAUCAGUGGCGAAGGCGACUUUCUGGACAGAUACUGACACUGAGGAGCGAAAGCCAGGGGAGCAAACGGG
RNAcentral lists this ribosomal RNA (253 nucleotides) under uncultured bacterium. RNAcentral's name for it is "partial 16S ribosomal RNA". It matches the Rfam family "Bacterial small subunit ribosomal RNA", at positions 524 to 776 of the family's 1533-position model. The record is from RNAcentral.